UACAGAGGGUGCGAGCGUUAAUCGGAAUUACUGGGCGUAAAGGGCGCGUAGGCGGCUCUGAUCGUCGGAUGUGAAAGGCCUGGGCUCAACCUGGGAAUGGCAUCCGAUACGGCGGGGCUGGAGUGUGGGAGAGGUUGGUGGAAUUCCCAGUGUAGAGGUGAAAUUCGUAGAUAUCGCUUGGAACGCCGAAGGUGAAAACAGGUCGCUGGGGAUGUGCCGACGCUGAGACACGAAAGCCAGGGGAGCAAACGGG
This 253-nucleotide ribosomal RNA is filed under the name uncultured bacterium. Its description in RNAcentral is "partial 16S ribosomal RNA". It matches the Rfam family "Bacterial small subunit ribosomal RNA", at positions 524 to 776 of the family's 1533-position model. The record is from RNAcentral.